Molecule: non-coding RNA, 27 nt
Filed under: Rattus norvegicus (Norway rat)
Lineage: Eukaryota; Metazoa; Chordata; Mammalia; Rodentia; Muridae
Source: RNAcentral
UUAUGACCUUUGCCACUGGAUACCAGU